Non-coding RNA from Rattus norvegicus (Norway rat), 723 nucleotides. The record is from RefSeq and is a predicted model, not a curated record. Lineage: Eukaryota; Metazoa; Chordata; Mammalia; Rodentia; Muridae.
CGAAAGGAUGUUUGAAGAGAAGGGGUUGGGGGAAGACAAUAGAAGAGUGGAAGCUGGAAUACUGGGGAUGGAAUGUUUAAGUGUGGAAAUUGGGGGCUUAGAGAUGAAGGGAAAAGUAGGGCAAUAGUGGGACUCAACUCACUAUAAUUAAAUAUGCUGAUUAAUGAAAGACUAAAUAAACUUAGUAGCUCACCCACAAAAGGAAAUAUAAACAAGUGAGGACAAAACUUCUUGAGAAGUGUUUUAACAUGAUAAGGAAGAGGAUAAAAUGUUUGGCAGUAGGUGGCCCAAAGUAUUGAACAGAGUGUUGGUAGCAAUAUCUACUGAAAACCAUGAACACAGCUCAACUUCAAAUGAAGAGACAUCUCAAGUUGAUAUUCUCAUCAAGCCAGAGUGGCCAUCAUCAAGAGGACAACAAAUACUGGUGAGGAUAUGAGGAAAAGGGAAACUUCCUGUAUUACUGAAGGAAUAUAAAUUGGUACAUCCACAGAAAACAGACCUUCUUCAUGGGAGUUCAUCCUUUCCCUUCCAUCACAGGAAAGUAGGGAGGUAAGAGUAAUGGAAGAGAAGGCUUUCCACCUGAAUCACUACUUUAAAGAACUUUCCAUGGAGAGUCAGUCCAUCACUUGUCACUAUGUUUCAUUAGCCAUCUAGUAGCAGGAAUAUUUGGAAAUAUUUUUUAACAAACUGUUUUUUAAGAUAUAAUUUAUUUUAUGUGUGUGG